GGCCUAACACAUGCAAGUCGAACGAGACCUAAGGCCUAACACAUGCAAGUCGAGCGCCUCGCAAGAGGAGCGGCAGACGGGUGAGUAACGCGUGGGAAUCUACCCAUCUCUACGGAACAACAGUUGGAAACGACUGCUAAUACCGUAUACGCCCCUUGGGGGAAAGAUUUAUCGGAGAUGGAUGAGCCCGCGUUGGAUUAGCUAGUUGGUGGGGUAAAGGCCUACCAAGGCGACGAUCCAUAGCUGGUCUGAGAGGAUGAUCAGCCACAUUGGGACUGAGACACGGCCCAAACUCCUACGGGAGGCAGCAGUGGGGAAUAUUGGACAAUGGGCGCAAGCCUGAUCCAGCCAUGCCGCGUGAGUGAUGAAGGCCUUAGGGUUGUAAAGCUCUUUCACCGGUGAAGAUAAUGACGGUAACCGGAGAAGAAGCCCCGGCUAACUUCGUGCCAGCAGCCGCGGUAAUACGAAGGGGGCUAGCGUUGUUCGGAAUUACUGGGCGUAAAGCGCACGUAGGCGGAUAUUUAAGUCAGGGGUGAAAUCCCAGAGCUCAACUCUGGAACUGCCUUUGAUACUGGGUAUCUCGAGUAUGGAAGAGGUGAGUGGAAUUCCGAGUGUAGAGGUGAAAUUCGUAGAUAUUCGGAGGAACACCAGUGGCGAAGGCGGCUCACUGGUCCAUUACUGACGCUGAGGUGCGAAAGCGUGGGGAGCAAACAGGAUUAGAUACCCUGGUAGUCCACGCCGUANACGAUGAAUGUUAGCCGUCGGGCAGUCUACUGUUCGGUGGCGCAGCUAACGCAUUAAACAUUCCGCCUGGGGAGUACGGUCGCAAGAUUA
RNAcentral lists this ribosomal RNA (834 nucleotides) under uncultured Rhizobium sp. Its description in RNAcentral is "bacterial SSU rRNA". It matches the Rfam family "Bacterial small subunit ribosomal RNA", at positions 1 to 896 of the family's 1533-position model. Lineage: Bacteria; Pseudomonadati; Pseudomonadota; Alphaproteobacteria; Hyphomicrobiales; Rhizobiaceae. The record is from RNAcentral.